This 1560-nucleotide long non-coding RNA is filed under the name Oreochromis niloticus (Nile tilapia). RNAcentral's name for it is "lncRNA (ENSONIG00000025250.2)". The record is from RNAcentral. Lineage: Eukaryota; Metazoa; Chordata; Actinopteri; Cichliformes; Cichlidae.
ACUGCUGAACAAAAUGCCAACACUUGCCAUCGAAGCGAGAGUAACCCCUUAGGCUUUGUUGUGUCUGAAUGUCAGCCACAAACUUCCAGUCCCAUUUCCUACACUGCUCACAAAACAAUGAAAAUGCCAGACCCACCAGAGUAUGUGUUGUAUACAGAUUCAGAACUGGACAUGGUGCGCAGUCAGUACUUUGCAUUGCUUCACAGUGGAAAGGAAAAGGACUGUAAGAUGUCGAAGGAGCUCUGUUGCAGACUUAUAAGGAACACAGUCACCAGCAUGGUUGCAAUCCUUCGUGCUAGUCCCAUGGGGAAAGAAGUAGGAUACCCCUCCAAACUUGAAAUGAGAGCAAUGUCACAGAAGAUUGUCGACUAUUACCCUAUGUUAUGUGAUGCUGACACACACAUGCCAUAUGUGACCAUCUACACCAAACUGUACAAACGACUCCAAAAUAUGAAGUCUCCAAGGAGGAAACAGGGUUCCAUGCUGCAGCGAGGCAGGCCCAGGAAGAUUAUUUUCAGCUCAGACAACUUAGACAAUGAAACUGAAGGUGACUUAAGUGGCGAAGCAAGUGGUUCAAGUGACUAUACCAUACUUGACCUCAGCAAGGACAACUCAAAUGCAGAGAAAGCAUCAAAAUUCCAUCUACACUCUACUGUACCAACACAGUCAAACAAUAAUACCCUGGCUUCACCACUAUUAUCUAAGUCAGCCUCAUGCUCUGCACCCAGGGCUGCCAUAGGUCCACCAACUCCAGAUGACGAUGUUGCAGACCAUGACAGCCUGAAGAUGCAGCCAAGACAUUACAAAACCUUGAGCAACAUGUACAGGAAACCAAAUGCAAAACCCAACCAAAGUGACGUUGCUCAAAUUUUGGACCUGGAGUUUGAGGCCAGACGAGCUUUUAUUGAUGCAGAUGUUACAAGGGAAGAAGACAGGCCCACAAAAAUAUUUGAAGCAUACCCGUGCUUCAAAGAUAUUCGAAAUGCGAUGGAUGAACUGUGUCGCAUCGUUGGUGGUUCCAACUGCAAAUGCAUAGAUCAAAUGAAGGGUAGAUGGGCAGAGUUUUGUUCGAAAGUGCAGUUCUAUGGCAUUUGGAAGAAGGUCCUGAAACCUCCUCUCCCCUUGGAUGUACGUGGAGUGGAGUUUACUGUCACUCUCUUCAAUGCACUUCCAUCUCUUUUUCCUUCACCAACUACACCACCAAAGCGGCUGGGAAGUGCCAGUGAGGCUCUCCUUCAUAUCCUCCAGCCGGGUGAAGAUGCUAUGCUAUACCUGGAGAAGCGGCCUCUCUCCUCCCCAGUGCUGCUUUUUGAUGGGACAACCAGCAUUGUUGCUGUAGGAAACAUACCAGUGACCACUCUGCCCUUGGAGGAUUUCUGGGAAGGAAUGUUGGUGUUGAUGGCAUAUUACUACACCUUGCACUUAACAUACCCGAAAUGUGUUGCAACGGUCCUCUCUGUCGUACAAACUGAGGUAAUCACUGAUGCCAUCCAUGAUCAAGAUGCCACUUGUGCAUAUAAGAAAGCAAUAGCUAAGUGGAAGUCAUUCUUUGAAAAAUAG